AUCCUUCUUUCUCCCAAAAUAUCUAGUUUUUUUUUUUUUUUUUUUUCCUUUUCCCUCACCCUCACAACCGACCUCUUUCUCCCUCUCACUCUCAAGUUCUCUCUUCUUCAUUUUCUUCCAAAAAUUCAACAAAACAAUCACACAAUAUUGAUUCUUGAAGCCUCUAGCUUAUUUAGCAAGCUCAAUCAUUCUCCUACCUUGCCCUGGUUGUGUCUCUUCUUCAAAAAAAUAUUUCAGAUUUGGGUUCUUGCAAAAUCAAGCUAAAAGUGAGGGAAAGACUUAUAAGCUAGGGCAUAAGCUAUUUUGGAAAAGUGAUUAUGGAGUUUUAGAGAUAGAAGAAGCUGCAAAUUGUGGAUAAGCUGCUUUCAAUCUCCAGGAAUGAUUCACGGUGAGUUCCUUUAGUUAGUUAACUGUCCCUUUGAGUAGUUUGAAUCAUGUCAUUCAAAUUGUGUUAUUUACUUUUACUCAAUACAAAAGAGAUUUUAAUGGUUAUGCAAAAUCAUGAUAAUGUGAAUGAAAUCUUAUAUGAUAUCAAUGUUAUGCAAAAUCAUAUGAAUUGGUUCUAACAAUAAAAUGCAAAAACUUUGUUUGUUACAACGAAGAGAUAAUGUAGUCUAUGAGGUACGACUCAUAGUAAC
Molecule: long non-coding RNA, 638 nt
Organism: Medicago truncatula (barrel medic)
Lineage: Eukaryota; Viridiplantae; Streptophyta; Magnoliopsida; Fabales; Fabaceae
Exons: 2
Source: RefSeq, a predicted model, not a curated record